Molecule: small nuclear RNA, 100 nt
Filed under: Nannospalax galili (Upper Galilee mountains blind mole rat)
Lineage: Eukaryota; Metazoa; Chordata; Mammalia; Rodentia; Spalacidae
Source: RNAcentral
UUGCUUCAUGUACUAAAAUUGGACCAGGAACAGUGCAGGAAGAUUAGCAUGGCCCUCGAGCAAGGAUGACCCUCAAAUUCGUGAAGUGUCCCAUAAAAUA